AUUUAAAGUUGCUCCACAUAUUGUGCGUGAUUCCUGCAGGGCAAUCAGGCAGAAGGCCGUCAUGGAGGCAUCUGACACAUUAUUGGAUGCAACUUUA
Long non-coding RNA from Poecilia latipinna (sailfin molly), 97 nucleotides. RefSeq lists it as uncharacterized. Lineage: Eukaryota; Metazoa; Chordata; Actinopteri; Cyprinodontiformes; Poeciliidae. The transcript has 3 exons. The record is from RefSeq and is a predicted model, not a curated record.